RNAcentral lists this unclassified non-coding RNA (715 nucleotides) under uncultured cyanobacterium. RNAcentral describes it as "partial contains 16S ribosomal RNA, 16S-23S ribosomal RNA intergenic spacer, and 23S ribosomal RNA". The stretch from base 1 to 112 matches the Rfam family "Bacterial small subunit ribosomal RNA", at positions 1423 to 1533 of the family's 1533-position model. Lineage: Bacteria; Bacillati; Cyanobacteriota. The record is from RNAcentral.
GAAGUCGUUACUCCAACCCUUGUGGAGGAGGACGCCGAAGGUGGGGCUAAUGACUGGGGUGAAGUCGUAACAAGGUAGCCGUACCGGAAGGUGCGGCUGGAUCACCUCCUAACAGGGAGACAACAAAAUGUAAAUAUUAAUUUUGUCACCUUAGGUCGAUCGGUAUCUCAGAUUCUUAUUAUUUAAGAAUUUCAGUUUCUAAGUUUUUUCUAGGUCACACCCAUCACUUUUUCCUGGGCCAUUAGCUCAGGUGGUUAGAGCGCACCCCUGAUAAGGGUGAGGUCCCUGGUUCAAGUCCAGGAUGGCCCAUAUCUCUAUGUUGGGGGUAUAGCUCAGUUGGUAGAGCGCCUGCUUUGCAAGCAGGAUGUCAGCGGUUCGAGUCCGCUUACCUCCACUGAAUACCACCUCUUACACAUAGUUGAAGUGGGAAAUUGUUUUGAGUCGUGUCCUAAUUUGCUCUGAGCGAAUCUAGCUUCCUAUUUUAUCCAAGAAAUAAGAUGCUGGACUCAUUGAAUUUUUUUUCAUUGUUUUCAGAGAACCUUGACAACUGCAUAGAUUAUUUUUAAAGACAAUAAGCAUCUUUAAUGAUGCAGAUUUAUUAUUUGUGCGAAUGCAUUAAAUAACAAUUCUAUUAAGCUGAUGCUUCAAUUAUUGAAGUUAUUGGUCAAGCUACAAAGGGCUCACGGAGGAUACCUAGGCACACAGAGGCGAUGAA